CUCCGGCAGGAUCGACCGGAUGAUGCCCCGGAAGCCCGGGCGGGCCGUCGCUGCGUCACGCUGCUCGCCCGCGGGCGCCCGCCCUUGCGCGCACGUCUUGGCGCCGGGUUGCCAGCGGUGUCCGGCUAGCAGGGACCGCCGCGGGGGGUGCAACCGUUGUCCUGAGCCGUCCGCCGCGUCCCGGGUGAGCGGGCAUGCAUGGCUUCUUCCUUGGGGA
This 217-nucleotide ribosomal RNA is filed under the name Giardia duodenalis. RNAcentral describes it as "Giardia intestinalis partial small subunit ribosomal RNA". The record is from RNAcentral. Lineage: Eukaryota; Fornicata; Diplomonadida; Hexamitidae.